CACUGCAUUAGCUUAGUUAUUCUUUCUUUCUGCUGCCUACCUCUGGAUCUUUUUCCUGACAAUUAGUAGAUCAUGACACACAAAUUUUUCACUGUGACUUCAGUUGUACAAAUAAAAUUGGCUUUUGUAAUGAUCUCCCCUCCUUUCCAACUCACUGGAUAGUAGAGAAACUCAAACCUGGCCAUUAACAAUGUAUCUGUCUUUUCCCGUUUCAUCAGUCUCCUUUCAUGUUAAGAACAAUUGCUUUCAGAGUUCUACAGCCUCCCCCUUCUUCUCUUAGGAAGUACCUUGGUGUAUGAAGGAGUUGAUAGGGUCCUUUGAAUCUCUUUUAGUAUCUUUUGCAGAAUGGUGAGCUGGGCUUGGCUAGAACCAGCAUCCUCUGAGGUGCAAAUGGCCCCAUCCAGCCUUUUGGAGUGUGAUAGCGUUCAUUGCUACUAACCACUGACUUUGCCAUUCCCUCUAGUCAUUGAGUGUCGUAUCCUCAGGGGCUUUCUCUUGCAGAACUUAGAACUAUUCCAAUCCCAUGGUUUUCUUAGCACUGGGGCAUGCUGCCAGCAUUGGGAGGCCAGGGGCUAGUCCUCCUUUGCCUUCUUUCUCUCUCUCUCUCUCUCUCUCUAUCUCCCUCUGUUGCUUGCGUCAUUAAGCAAGUAGCUCCUAAGUCUAGAAGUAGCACACAUAACUUCUACCUACAUUCCCAUUGGCUGCUGAAAGUACCUCAAGCAGGUCAUUUGCUAUAUUAGAAAUCAACAGCCUUCCUCUGUUGUGCCUUGGGAAAUAAGCCACUAACCCUGAUGUUCUUGGUGUCCCCUAUACUUUCUUGGAAGCUUCUAUGGCACCUUGACCCUACUUCUGGAGAUGUACACUCAAGUCUGGGUAGAAAAGGGGUUGAUUCCUUAUCUUGGCUAUUGUGAAUAGUGCUGCAAUAAACAUGAGAAUACAGCUAUCUCUUUGACAUACUGAUUUUCUUUCUUUUGGAUAUGUAUCUAUCAGAGGGAUUGCUGGAUCAUAUGGUAUUUUUAUUUUUAGUUUUUUUUUUUUUUCUUUUUUUGAGGCAGAGUCUCACUCUGUCGCCUAUGCUGGAGUACAGUGGCACGAUCUCAGCUCACUGCAACCUCUGCCUCCCAGGUUCAUGCCAUUCUCCUGCCUCAGCCUCCCAAGUAGCUGGGACUACAGGUGCCCACAACCACGCCCGGCUAGUUUUUUGUAUUUUUGAUAGAGACGGGGUUUCACCGUGUUAGCCAGGAUGGUCUCGAUUUCCUGACCUCAUGAUCCGCCUGCCUUGGCCUCCCAAAGUGCUGGGAUUGCAGGCGUGAGCCACCGUGCUUGGCCUAUUUUUAGUUUUUUAAAGAACUUCCAUACUCUUUUCCAUGGUGACUGCACUAAUUGACAAGAAAUGGGAAUCUUGACCUUUGUCAUCUUUGUUCUACUUCUGUCUCUCUCUUGCUUCCCAUAAUUCAUAUGGGAAGCUCCCCUCUUCUUUCUGUUUGGGUAAGACUUCCCUAACGGCAGACUCUUCUUCUACUUCCCAAACUUACCUUGGCUCUUCGCCCUCCCCUAGAGUUCUAGCAAAAUGGCUGCCAUAGAAUACUGUUUACAGAGAACAGGAAUGCAACACACAUUGACUUAGAAAUAUCAAAUGAUAAUUCUUACUACAUCUAAUCUCUAUCAGAUGGCCAAGAGAAAAGAGAAGAGAAAAAGACAGAGAAGAGGCCAUAAGAUCCAAACCAUUUGGUUAUUAGAUGGCAAUCCCACUGAAUGAUUUGAUGGGAUAUUAACUAAAACUGUUGGUUUAAAUGGAAGUUUUAAAUAAUAUGAGUAUACCAUUAUAUGUGUGUGCAUAUAUAUAUGUAUGUAUGUAUAUGCAUGUGUGUGUAUAUAUAUAUAGACAUAUAUACACAUACACAAACAUGCGUGCAUGCACACACACAGAGAUACUCUUCCCUACUCCUCUGGAUGACUGAGAGUUGGUUAUAACUACCAUUUAAAACAAAUUGUUAUUAAAAAUAGAUAAUUGGGAGCCUAGUACAUGGAUGAUUCAUCAAUAAUGGUAGCAAGAAGUUGGAAGGAAACAUUAAAGAAGGGGUAGCAGAAACCAUAGCAGAAAUUGUGCUUACACUGAUACAUUCCCUGACCUCUAUGUGGAUUCAUCCCACUGAGAACAUGCUGCUGGAAACACAGGAAAAGCCUGUCUUGGCGACAGCUCACGAUUCCUGUUAUUCACGCAGACUCCCUCCUGCUUUUCUGUUUGAACCCACUGACACCUGAAUCUUUAAUCUUGUGGUUCUGCAUUCUGAUUUCCGAAACCUGCCUCAACCCUCUUCAUCUGAAGCUUCAUUUGAAUCCUCUUCUCUGACUCUGACCCUCAGAAUCUUCUCUCUGUGAGCAUGACAUUGCUUUCAUCCACCUAAACCUGUGUGCAAGAGCAAGCGCCUCCUCUCCCUGCUUGCAGGAUGCAUACCUGCUGGACCAGCCUGCCUGGAUUUCUUGCAAAUGAUGGGCUGGGAAGAACUGUGGAGUCACGUGCUCAUCAAUUCUGGCAGUGACAAAAUAUCUCCAACAAAAAACACUGCAGACAUUCUUGCAAGACUUUACUUAUCAACAGGCAAGUAGAAAACAAGUAGAAUUGGCAAGUAGAAAACAGAUGCAAAAUUUAAAUAACUUUGCAUGGAGUCAUAGAAAGAGAAUUGGAAUCAAUCUUAGAAAUCACCUAGUACAAUGCUCAUUUUUCUUAAGAGUGCACUGAGGUAUUUGAAAGUUAAUGGAAUUACUACUUAAGAUUAUAUAGUUAUUUGUUACCAACAUUUACAAUCCUACCAUGUAUGAAUGUCAUUAACAUCAUCACUUGGAGGGUGGCAAGAAUGCAAUGUUGAAUGACUGAAUGUAAUAGACUUACUAUUGCAAGAGGCUGUUAAGUAUGCCACAAAUUACAACCAAAUCCUUCAUCUUAUCUCACUAGUAGCACUGUAUUCGUCAGUUCGUGUUUCUUUAUAGAAAUACCUGAGGCUGGGUAAUUUAUAAAGGUUUAUUUGGCUUACAGUUCUGCAAGCUGCACAUGAAGCACAGUGCCAGCAUCUGCUUCUGGUGAGGGCCUCAGAAAGUUUCCAAUCAUAGUGGAAGGCAAAGAGCCAUCAUGUCACGUAGCAGGAGAGGGCACAAGGGGGCGGGAGAAGGUUCCACACUCUUUUAAACAACCAGAUCUUGCAAGAACUUACUCACUGCCACAAGGAGGGCACCAAGUCAUUCAUGAGGGAUCUGCCCCUAUGACCCAAACACCUCCCACCCACCGCCAACAUUAAGGAUCACAUUUCAACAUGUGAUUUGGAGGGGAUACACUCCAAGCCAUAUCAAAAACUUUUAGCCAAGGAUAACACAUAAGGGACUUCCCUAUUAAGAUUAAGUGUAUGAACAACAAGCAUGGCAUAUGUUCAUUGCAGCACUAUUCACAAUAGCAAAGACAUGGAAUCAACCCAAAUCCCCAUCAAUGAUAGACUGGAUAAAGAAAAUGUGGUUACAUAUACACCAUGGAAUGCUAUGCAACCAUAAAAAGGAAUGAGAUCAUGUCCUUUUCAGUGACGUGGAUGGAGUUGUAAGCCAUUAUGCUCAGCAAACUAACACAGAACAGAAAGCCAAACACCACAUAUUCUCACUUAUAAGUGGGAGCUAAACAAUGAGAACACAUUGACACAGGGAGAGGAACAACACACACUGGAGCCUGUUGGGGGAGGGUGUGCGUGGGGGGAGAGCAUCAGGAAAAAUAGCUAAUGCAUGCUGGGCUUACUACUCGGUGAUGGGUUGAUAGGUGCAGCAAACCACCAUGGCACACGUUUGCCUACGUAACGAGCCUGCACAUCCUGCACAUGUAUCCCAGAACUUAAACUUUAAAAAGAAAAAGAUAAAGUGUAUGUCUGUUUCCCCCUAGAUGAUGUGUGUCCUUAGGAUUAAAGAGUGUGCCUCAUUCACAUUUGCCUCAUGACUAAUACUGUGUUUGACCAGAGUCAGUGUUUAGCAAAUUCUCAGUAAUUUAAAUGGAAUGAAAAGGGACCAUUCCUCUGUUUUGCUGUAAUGCGUGAAUUCCUAAUUUGAGGUCCAUAGGUGAUCUUCAGAAUGUCUGUGAAUUUCCUGAAAUAACAUUCUAAAUUGUACAUGUGUGUGUUUGCACUUAUACAUCCCUGCUCACUCCAGGAGACAUUACGGUUUUUGGCAGCAGCAUCUCAAAGGGAUUAAAAGAUUAGUUUAGCAAAGGAAAGACUGACAUGUUGAAUGCACGUGUUGACUCACUGAGUUCCCCUGCAGUCUUCGGAGGUCCUGGAGGGCACGGGGCCAAAACAGCUAGAAAUGGGAAUUCCUCCAAACAGAAGCUUCGGCAUCACUGAAGAGAGGGAAAUGGCUCAGAGUGAUCAUGAUGGAGUGGUUGUAACUCUCCAGCACCUAUUGGAGAACAAAACAAGAUAAAUCACAGUGAGCCUAAGGGCAAGAGGCACAAAGUCUGACUCCACCUUUCUCCAACAGAAGAGCUGUGGACAAAUAUCUGUACCUUCUCUCAUUCCUCUUUCUCCAUACAGAGAUUUGUUAUUUCUCUCCACUCAUAUGACAUUCCUGCCUCAAUGAAUCAAUGAAACAUUAUUAGAAAGGAACAAACAAACAUUAAAUAAAGUUCAAAAUGGAAGUGAUUCAUGUGCUUAAGCUAUUUAAGCCAGAUGCCACAUAAAGUAUUUCUCACUGAAAAAGACCCCAGGAUUAGCUGACUACUCAAGUCUUUUCUCGAAA
This 4767-nucleotide long non-coding RNA is filed under the name Homo sapiens (human). Its description in RNAcentral is "non-protein coding lnc-SLC35F3-1:1". The record is from RNAcentral. Lineage: Eukaryota; Metazoa; Chordata; Mammalia; Primates; Hominidae.